GAGUUUGAUCAUGGCUCAGGAUGAACGCUAGCGGCAGGCUUAACACAUGCAAGUCGAACGGUAACAGGUCUUUCGGGACGCUGACGAGUGGCGCACGGGUGCGUAACGCGUAUGCAACCUACCUUUAACAGGAGGAUAGCUCUGAGAAAUCGGGAUUAAUACUCCAUAAUAUCUUAUUAUUGCAUAAUAAAGAGAUUAAAGAUUUAUCGGUUAAAGAUGGGCAUGCGUGACAUUAGCUAGUUGGUAAGGUAACGGCUUACCAAGGCGACGAUGUCUAGGGGUUCUGAGAGGAUGAUCCCCCACACUGGUACUGAGACACGGACCAGACUCCUACGGGGGGCAGCAGUGAGGAAUAUUGGUCAAUGGGCGCAAGCCUGAACCAGCCAUGCCGCGUGCAGGAUUGACAGCCCUACGGGUUGUAAACUGCUUUUAUAUGGGAAGAAAUGUUACUAUGCGUAGUAAUUUGACGGUACCAUUUGAAUAAGCACCGGCUAACUCCGUGCCAGCAGCCGCGGUAA
RNAcentral lists this ribosomal RNA (518 nucleotides) under uncultured Bacteroidota bacterium. RNAcentral describes it as "bacterial SSU rRNA". It matches the Rfam family "Bacterial small subunit ribosomal RNA", at positions 9 to 523 of the family's 1533-position model. Lineage: Bacteria; Pseudomonadati; Bacteroidota. The record is from RNAcentral.